AACGAACGCUGGCGGCAUGCCUAACACAUGCAAGUCGAACGAGACCUUCGGGUCUAGUUGCGCACGUGUGCGUAACGCGUGGGAACCUGCCCUUAGGUUCGGAAUAACUCCCCGUAAGGGGUGCUAAUACCGGAUAAUGUCUUCGGACCAAAGAUUUGUCGCCUCGGGAUGGGCUCGCGGUGGAUUAGCUGGUUGGUGGGGUAAAAGCCUACCAAGGCGAGGAUGGGUAGCUGGUCUGAGAGGAUGAUCGGCCACACUGGGACUGAGAUACGGCCCAGACCCCUAUGGGAGGCAAGAGUGGGGAAUAGUGCACAAUGGACGGAAGCCUGAUGCAGCAAAGCCGCGGGCGGGAAGACGGCCAGCGGGUGGGAAACCGCAUUCGCCUGUGACGAAGCGUGAGUGACGGUAACGGGUAAAGAAGCUCCGGCUAACUACGUG
This 438-nucleotide ribosomal RNA is filed under the name uncultured bacterium. RNAcentral's name for it is "partial 16S ribosomal RNA". It matches the Rfam family "Bacterial small subunit ribosomal RNA", at positions 29 to 507 of the family's 1533-position model. The record is from RNAcentral.